CAGUCGCCACGGGAAAACGGAGGGGGCUAGCGUUGCUCGGAAUUACUUGGCGUAAAGGGCGCGUAGGCGGACAGUUAAGUUGGGGGUGAAAGCCCGGGGCUCAACCUCGGAAUUGCCUUCAAUACUGGCUGUCUUGAGUAUGAGAGAGGUGUGUGGAACUCCGAGUGUAGAGGUGAAAUUCGUAGAUAUUCGGAAGAACACCAGUGGCGAAGGCGACACACUGGCUCAUUACUGACGCUGAGGCGCGAAAGCGUGGGGAGCAAACAGGAUUAGAGACCCGUGUAGUCCCUGUCUCUUAUAC
This 301-nucleotide ribosomal RNA is filed under the name uncultured bacterium. Its description in RNAcentral is "partial 16S ribosomal RNA". It matches the Rfam family "Bacterial small subunit ribosomal RNA", at positions 509 to 807 of the family's 1533-position model. The record is from RNAcentral.